Long non-coding RNA from Drosophila montana, 561 nucleotides. RefSeq lists it as uncharacterized. Lineage: Eukaryota; Metazoa; Arthropoda; Insecta; Diptera; Drosophilidae. The record is from RefSeq and is a predicted model, not a curated record. The transcript is spliced from 2 exons.
AUUGCUUUUUCAACCACUGUGCGUAACAGCUAUUAUGUCAUACGCACCGCUACUUAGUGGCGGAUUUUGUUUUUAUAGCAAACGUUCUUACCAGGAGGGCUACUUCUGGGACUGCAUUAAGUCCCUGGAGCUGUUUGAAGUUCUUUGAAUUUCGUGAAUAGUCAACAAAUAAACGGACUGCUGGGUCAGUGAGUGUUAUUUAUGUGCCAGCGCCUGAUGCUUAUCUCAACUGUAGCAGCGAGUCGGGCUUAUCGCCAGCUCAUGAUGUUUUUUGGCCAAACAAAAACAAACAACUGGCAGCAAACCUUUUGAUAAGGCAACAACGGCAAUAACAACUGUUGACGUGCAGCUGUGAUUUAUUUUGCUUUAAAAGCACAUUUUAAAGUGCCCAGACGUUAAAAGAACUAACCCACACACACACACUCAUAAGCACGCCGCAAAUUCUGCUGACUUUUAUGUGAGCUCAUAAAAUUUUUUUUGGAAAAUUCUGGGUUCAUAUUUGCGCUGGCAUAUAUGUAUAUAUAUUUUUUUAUACUAAUUAAAAAUUGUAUAUUUAUCAAA